GCUGGGCGUGGUGGCGCGCGCCUCUAGUUCCAGUUACUUGGGAGGCUGAGGCAGAAGAAUCGCUUGAACCCAGGAGGCAGGGGUUGCAGUGAGCAGAGAUCACGCCACUGCACUCCAGCCUGGGCAACAGAGUGAGACUCCGUCUCAA
This is an unclassified non-coding RNA of Pongo abelii (Sumatran orangutan), 148 nucleotides long. It matches the Rfam family "Metazoan signal recognition particle RNA". From Rfam's summary of the family: The signal recognition particle (SRP) is a universally conserved ribonucleoprotein. It is involved in the co-translational targeting of proteins to membranes. The record is from Ensembl. NCBI's taxonomy places the organism in Eukaryota, Metazoa, Chordata, Mammalia, Primates, Hominidae.